AAGCAGCAGCUGGAAGGUGCUGUUUGGAACAAGAAGAGCAGUUUUGGUAAACUCUUCAUUCUCACAGUAGGUAUUCUUCCUAACACUGAUAGUUAAAAGAGGAUGGGAAGAAGAG
Protobothrops mucrosquamatus (brown spotted pit viper) is the source of this 115-nucleotide long non-coding RNA. RefSeq lists it as uncharacterized. The transcript has 3 exons. NCBI's taxonomy places the organism in Eukaryota, Metazoa, Chordata, Lepidosauria, Squamata, Viperidae. The record is from RefSeq and is a predicted model, not a curated record.